CAAUAGCGUAUAUUAAAGUUGUUGCGGUUAAAAAGCUCGUAGUUGGACUUCUGCCGAGGACGACCGGUCCGCCCUCUGGGUGAGUAUCUGGUUCGGCCUGGGCAUCCUCUUGGAGAACGUAGCUGCACUUGACUGUGUGGUGCGGUAUCCAGGACCUUUACUUUGAGGAAAUUAGAGUGUUUCAAGCAGGCAUGCCCUGAAUACAUUAGCAUGGAAUAAUAAGAUAGGACCUCGGUUCUAUUUUGUUGGUUUCUAGAGCUGAGGUAAUGAUUAAUAGGGAUAGUUGGGGGCAUUCGUAUUGAACUGUCAGAGGUGAAAUUCUUAGAUUUGUUCAAGACGGACUACUGCGAAAGCAUUUGCCAAGGAUGUUUUCAUUGAUCAAGAACGAAAGUUAGGGGAUCGAAGAUGAUCAGAUACCGU
This 420-nucleotide ribosomal RNA is filed under the name uncultured eukaryote. RNAcentral's name for it is "SSU rRNA". It matches the Rfam family "Eukaryotic small subunit ribosomal RNA", at positions 592 to 1018 of the family's 1831-position model. The record is from RNAcentral.